This 68-nucleotide transfer RNA is filed under the name Gaiella sp. Its description in RNAcentral is "tRNA-OTHER". The record is from RNAcentral. Lineage: Bacteria; Bacillati; Actinomycetota; Thermoleophilia; Gaiellales; Gaiellaceae.
GGAGGCAGAGGCAUGAACGUCGAGACCGGCGAGGGAACCUUGCGCGGGUUCGAUUCCCGCCGCCUCCA